UGACCAAUCACACCUAGUGUGGUAUUGGAGUUCGCUGCUACGGCGGCUCCUAAAUUCAGUGGCGGCGCCAUUAGGCUCUGAGCGUAGUAAAUUUCCUCGCUAUAGAGUUCCUGUGGACGCUGGCCAGCAACCACCAACUUCUUA
Molecule: unclassified non-coding RNA, 144 nt
Filed under: uncultured Helotiales
Lineage: Eukaryota; Fungi; Ascomycota; Leotiomycetes; Helotiales
Description: sequence contains ITS2
Source: RNAcentral